AUUUCCCGGUCGGCAUCGAGCAGUUCGUUGGAAUUGGCGAUGAAGAUCGCGUCGGGACGCGGCC
Molecule: small RNA, 64 nt
Filed under: Sinorhizobium meliloti 2011
Lineage: Bacteria; Pseudomonadati; Pseudomonadota; Alphaproteobacteria; Hyphomicrobiales; Rhizobiaceae
Description: putative ncRNA
Source: RNAcentral